AAAAAAACACUUGACAAGUCGACAGCGACAGAUGACCUGCUAUUUCAAUAAUAUAUAACCUAAAAUUUUAAAUUACAGUAAAAUGAAGUUUUUGUUUAAUAUAAACAUAACUUUGUUCUGCUUGGUAUUACAUUACAUAUUACAUUAAUACUUGACAUUGGCAUAAUUAUCGUAUAAACGAUACAGCCAAAUAAAAUAAAUUGGAUUGAAUUGGAAUUUAUUGUGUUACAACUUACAGAAACAGAAAAUCUACAGACCCUAGUACUUACUGCUUUCAAAACAUUAAACAUGGUAUCUGAGAUGAAAUUCAUUAUAUCAGAAAACGAAAAAGUAAUCCAUACUAUAACUAAAGAAACAAAUUCACAGACUCUAGUAAAAACAUUGGAAGAGUUUCAACAUGCAGUGAACACAAAACUAACCAAGAUGAUUGAGGAACUUGGUGGUACUGUAGGUGAUGAAGACAUGGAAAGUGAAAGUGAAGAUUGUGAUGAUGACGAGAAUGAAGACAUAUCAAUAUUACCCAAAAAAA
This is a long non-coding RNA of Manduca sexta (tobacco hornworm), 529 nucleotides long. RefSeq lists it as uncharacterized. The transcript has 2 exons. The record is from RefSeq and is a predicted model, not a curated record. Lineage: Eukaryota; Metazoa; Arthropoda; Insecta; Lepidoptera; Sphingidae.